AGAUUUCAAUAAAGGGUAACGGUGGAAACGUAAGAGGAGACAGCUUCUCUUCGGGUUAUAGCGAACCCAACGACCCAAGGAACGCCAUGGAAGGACAGAAAAGCCAUUCUACUCGUACUGUCUCUGCAAGAGACGCCGAAACGGCACUUUACACGGAGCUUUGGCAUGCCUGUGCCGGCCCCUUGGUCACCGUUCCUCGUGAAGGAGAGCGCGUUUUCUACUUCCCUCAGGGACACAUCGAACA
RNAcentral lists this unclassified non-coding RNA (244 nucleotides) under Hevea brasiliensis (rubber tree). Lineage: Eukaryota; Viridiplantae; Streptophyta; Magnoliopsida; Malpighiales; Euphorbiaceae. The record is from RNAcentral.